This 73-nucleotide transfer RNA is filed under the name Fimbriiglobus sp. RNAcentral's name for it is "tRNA-Thr". It matches the Rfam family "tRNA". Rfam says of the family: Transfer RNA (tRNA) molecules are approximately 80 nucleotides in length. Their secondary structure includes four short double-helical elements and three loops (D, anti-codon, and T loops). Further hydrogen bonds mediate the characteristic L-shaped molecular structure. tRNAs have two regions of fundamental functional importance: the anti-codon, which is responsible for specific mRNA codon recognition, and the 3' end, to which the tRNAs corresponding amino acid is attached (by aminoacyl-tRNA synthetases). tRNAs cope with the degeneracy of the genetic code in two manners: having more than one tRNA (with a specific anti-codon) for a particular amino acid; and 'wobble' base-pairing, i.e. permitting non-standard base-pairing at the 3rd anti-codon position. The record is from RNAcentral. RNAcentral also lists the same sequence under 1 other name. Lineage: Bacteria; Pseudomonadati; Planctomycetota; Planctomycetia; Gemmatales; Gemmataceae.
GCCGCCUUAGCUCAUUUGGUAGAGCGAUGCUUUCGUAAAGCAUAGGUGCCGGGUUCGAGUCCCGGAGGCGGCU